GCAAGAGUGAGUGGGAUCAGAAAUUAAUGACACCGGAUGAUUCAGCAAAGCAGGGUCACACAUUGUUCAGGAGGAUGCAGACACCCAGGCUGAUGGAUGACCGUUCAGACUGUUUCCCUGGGUUCAGCUUUACUCGGGAAAUCGUAAUUCACCCCCUGGGAGAGGCUGAAGGGCGGACCAGGUCCUCGCCUCUGCUCCGCGCUCAUUUUCUCCUGAAUCCAGGAUGCGACAAAGAGGCUAAGAGCUCUGCUGCCUUGGCCGAGCUUUAUGGAGAGGUGGAGUAAAUCAUCAGCCACAGCUGUCCCCUCACCAAAUUCCACAGAAUUGCACUGUACUGAGGACUAAAACUCAUUUGCACACUCAUAUACAUUCACCCAUAGUCCUUGUCAAUAGUAGGUUUGAUGACAGGAUGAUACACACAAUGACCUGAUGUUGAAUGUAAAUGUGAUUGUAUCUGUGAGUGGGAGCUAUAAAAGCAUUUCAUGAGUAGUGUCAUCGGCAUUUGUUCUCUCCGGAUGGACGCAGCUAUGACCCUUUGCCGGGGUACAAGAAAGUUUCACCAUCUUGAUCUGCUGGUUCACACUGUAUCUUCAAUGUUUUGCAACAUCAAAAUAUAACUGAAAACCUCUUUCCACGUGAGAAAAGAAAAAAAGCCCCUCGCUCAUGAAAACAUGCUUGUUCAAACCACAAAAGGUACUCUCACAUCCCCAAACUUUGAAGGAACUCUCUCAUUUUCAUGCUCAAAAUAACACUGAAAAACAACUUAAACUACUUUUCUCACAUAGCCAUGAAGUGGACAUGUGGUCAAGCUGGAGCUAGAGUUCGACUCUAAAAUCAAUGUGAUUACACACAAAAAAAAGCAUGAGCACUAUCUUCAUUAUGAGACACGCUGUCCACUAGAUCCUUCAACUUUGCUACAUAAUGACAUCAUAGGUCACUCAGGCUACCUAAUGGGGGCCAGUGACCAAGACUGAUGAUUCCUUAGCUCAGUGCACGCCAUCACCACCGGCGCUCUCUGCCAAGUAUUCAAUUAGGGUCUGUGAGUAAUUGGGUGUAGAUGAGGUAGAGAUCAUCGUUAAGCUCAAUGUGGACGGUCUUGUAAAUGUGUGUGACAGAGAGUGGAGAGGGAGAGAGAAAGAAUUUUGCCUGUCAUGCCUUGAGUGACUCAGUAAUAAAAAGAGUUUCUAAACAUUCCACAUAAACACUCAGGCAGACAUCUCUGGAGCUGUACAGGGCUUGCCCACCAUCUGCUUGUGUAGCUCAUCAUUUAAAGUAAAUGGAAUAAGACAGGAAAGCACAUUAAACAAUUGCAGAUCACUCUCCAGAACAUGGUAUCUAAACUACUUCAGUAUUUUAUUCCCAAAAUUCAACAUAUGCAUUUUGGGGAAGAAAUGUCAGCAGAAAUCAGUAAAUCUUCUGGGAACACAAAUGAUUCUGCCUUCAGAAGCAUGAAUGCAAUGACUUUAAUACUAAACCAUAAGGAGUUUUAUAUGAUGACUUGUUUUCAGAUAAGAUCAGACAUCAGUAUCCUCCACCACAGAGACCACAACCUUAGUUAAUGUGUGUAUCUCCCCAAUGACUUUCCCUUAACAGUCUCCACUGAGACUCUUCAGUCUCUUUUGACUGCAACAACCUCGUGCCUUAUCUAUUUUUUCCUGUUUGCUUUCCUUUUGUGCUCGACUGUAAUUGUUGAAACAACAACAGACAUGACUGAAAGAGAAGAGUGCGGUGGUCAAGUUGAAAAAGCAAUACUGAAUAAACACAUCAUAAGCCUCUCUGAGAAUAGUCACACCAAGGCUAUAAGAUAUAUGCUUGUUGCAGACUAUGCAAAAUCAUUGCAAGUAAAGAUGUUUUUUUUAUUGUGUCAUAUGCUUGAGCCACAUGUCUAAAUAUCAUUAUCAUAGUUAGAAUCAUGAUACAAAGUUUGUGUGCAAAAUAUUCUGCAGGGCAAUUGCAAGGAAAUAUCUAUAAUUGUGGCGGUCACGUGUGUGACCUCUCUUGGUUUUAAAUGUAGCAGAAAUAACAAAUAAACAAUUUGCCCAGAGAGCUUGUAAACAGA
This is a long non-coding RNA of Lates calcarifer (barramundi perch), 2059 nucleotides long. RefSeq lists it as uncharacterized. The record is from RefSeq and is a predicted model, not a curated record. NCBI's taxonomy places the organism in Eukaryota, Metazoa, Chordata, Actinopteri, Centropomidae. The transcript is spliced from 2 exons.